Long non-coding RNA from Ananas comosus (pineapple), 489 nucleotides. RefSeq lists it as uncharacterized. NCBI's taxonomy places the organism in Eukaryota, Viridiplantae, Streptophyta, Magnoliopsida, Poales, Bromeliaceae. The transcript has 2 exons. The record is from RefSeq and is a predicted model, not a curated record.
AUAUCGAAAGAUGUGGAGCGAAAGAUUUGUUCUAAUAGAAUGAGUUCGCUAAGCCACUGUCUCUUCGGAGACAUCCGAUAAAAUUGGAACGAUACAGAGAAGAUUAGCAUGGCCCCUGCGCAAGGAUGACACGCACAAAGCGAGAAAUGGAUCUGAGAAUACAGCAGCUGCAUUAUAUCAAAGCAGAAUUUCGUCGUGGACGUGACACUGCACAUUUCUGAUGUUGUAGAAAGCACUGUAUUUAAAAGAGGAGGAUUCGGAGAACUGCAGUGUGAGGGGGAAGUCGAUAAGCCGCAUUCGUAAGGCUCAACAUUUAUGUAUUUGUUAGAUGCUGACGUGAAAAGAGCAUUGUUGCAAUUGUUUCAAAAUCGUGCAGAAUAUUUUUUUCUUUCUUUUUUUCUUUUACAUAUAUAUAUAUAUAUAUAUAUCAAAAAAAGAACUUAAUAACCUCUGCUCUAUCAUAUAUUUUGUCUAAUUGGCAUUUUUGUC